RNAcentral lists this ribosomal RNA (506 nucleotides) under uncultured Glomus. Its description in RNAcentral is "SSU rRNA". It matches the Rfam family "Eukaryotic small subunit ribosomal RNA", at positions 569 to 1078 of the family's 1831-position model. Lineage: Eukaryota; Fungi; Glomeromycota; Glomeromycetes; Glomerales; Glomeraceae. The record is from RNAcentral.
AGCAGCCGCGGUAAUUCCGGCUCCAAUAGCGUAUAUUAAAGUUGCUGCAGUUAAAAAGCUCGUAGUUGAAUUUCGGGACUAAUAUGUCGGUCGUGCCUCGGUACGUACUGGCUUAUUGGUUUCUCCUUUCUGAAGAACCAUGAUGUCAUUUAUUUGGUGUCGUGGGGAAUCAGGACUGUUACUUUGAAAAAAUUAGAGUGUUUAAAGCAGGCUCACGCUUGAAUACAUUAGCAUGGAAUAAUGAAAUAGGACAUUUGAUUCUAUUUUGUUGGUUUCUAGGAUCGACGUAAUGAUUAAUAGGGAUAGUUGGGGGCAUUAGUAUUCAAUUGUCAGAGGUGAAAUUCUUGGAUUUAUUGAAGACUAACUACUGCGAAAGCAUUUGCCAAGGAUGUUUUCAUUAAUCAAGAACAAAAGUUAGGGGAUCGAAGACGAUCAGAUACCGUCGUAGUCUUAACCAUAAACUAUGCCGACUAGGGAUCGGAUGAUGUUAAUUUUUUAAUGACUCA